This 430-nucleotide ribosomal RNA is filed under the name Bacteroidota bacterium. RNAcentral describes it as "Bacteroidetes bacterium partial 16S ribosomal RNA". It matches the Rfam family "Bacterial small subunit ribosomal RNA", at positions 355 to 776 of the family's 1533-position model. The record is from RNAcentral. Lineage: Bacteria; Pseudomonadati; Bacteroidota.
UAGGGAAUCUUCGGCAAUGGGGGGAACCCUGACCGAGCAACGCCGCGUGAGUGAAGAAGGUUUUCGGAUCGUAAAGCUCUGUUGUUAAGGAAGAACGAGUGUGAGAAUGGAAAGUUCAUGCUGUGACGGUACUUAACCAGAAAGGGACGGCUAACUACGUGCCAGCAGCCGCGGUAAUACGUAGGUGGCAAGCGUUGUCCGGAUUUAUUGGGCGUAAAGCGAGCGCAGGCGGUCAAUUAAGUCUGAUGUGAAAGCCCCCGGCUCAACCGGGGAGGGUCAUUGGAAACUGGUUGACUUGAGUGCAGAAGAGGAGAGUGGAAUUCCAUGUGUAACGGUGAAAUGCGUAGAUAUAUGGAGGAACACCAGUGGCGAAGGCGACUCUCUGGUCUGUAACUGACGCUGAGGCUCGAAAGCGUGGGUAGCAAACAGG